RNAcentral lists this ribosomal RNA (297 nucleotides) under Staphylococcus aureus. Its description in RNAcentral is "partial 23S ribosomal RNA". It matches the Rfam family "Bacterial large subunit ribosomal RNA", at positions 2626 to 2925 of the family's 2925-position model. Lineage: Bacteria; Bacillati; Bacillota; Bacilli; Caryophanales; Staphylococcaceae. The record is from RNAcentral.
ACAGUUCGGUCCCUAUCCGUCGUGGGCGUAGGAAAUUUGAGAGGAGCUGUCCUUAGUACGAGAGGACCGGGAUGGACAUACCUCUGGUGUACCAGUUGUCGUGCCAACGGCAUAGCUGGGUAGCUAUGUGUGGACGGGAUAAGUGCUGAAAGCAUCUAAGCAUGAAGCCCCCCUCAAGAUGAGAUUUCCCAACUUCGGUUAUAAGAUCCCUCAAAGAUGAUGAGGUUAAUAGGUUCGAGGUGGAAGCAUGGUGACAUGUGGAGCUGACGAAUACUAAUCGAUCGAAGACUUAAUCAA